UGUAGGUAAAUCAUAUUUAAUUUCUAAAUUGUUUUAUUAUGGAAAAGAUGCCAUUUAUGAGAAGGAGUAAACGUACUGGUAAGCGAGUAGAUGUGGCUGCCCAAGAAGGGACCAGCCAACCACCACCAAGUCAAGCUUUUAAAAGUGGGGCUCAAGAUGAGUCUCAAUCACAGACUUCCCCGAAACCUCCAUCUCUUGAAGAACUAAGGAGGGAAGAUGAACCUCAGGAACCCCCUUAUUAAUGGUACCAAGCAAGAUUUAAAGAUUGCAGUCCAAUUAUUCACUCGUAUAGUUGCUGGUCAUGGUCAAAGGAAUGAAGCUCCAGCCGCAGGUACUAGUGAUGUAUAUAGAGCAGCUGGAACACGGAUACGUGAUUUUCUUAACUUGAACACUCCAUCAUGCACCGGGUCAGAUCCUAAUGAAGAUUGUAACGUCCUGCAUUAUGUAUAUGGUAGUUCUAUCCCUGUUAUACUUGACAUAGACUUGGAGUGUAGGUUAGGGAUCAUGUGUCUUAUAUGAUUACUGGUUGUUUAAACUAGCUCGGAAGGUGAUAGCCUUGAACAUUCAGCAUGCGUAUUGCAAGUAAACUCUGACGGAAAGUAUUUAAGCAAAUAUAGUAAGGUGGAAAUUGAGCUUAAAGUUGAAAGUUAAGUGCUAAGUUGAAGAAAAGGGAUUAACAUUGAGAAAUUGAAAUAAUGUAAUUGAGUUGCUUGUUUGGCUUAAUUAUGCUAGCAGCUACAUCACCUACUUGAGCUAUAAUAUAGUGAAAGGGACCAAGUUUGAUGGACCAGAUUUUGGUUUAUAUUAAUGGGCACACAUUAAUACCAAACUUAUUAAAUGAAAAGAAAAAAAAAAGGAAAGCCCAGCAGCCAAAUCUGCCAAUUGGCCCAUAAUGGAUAAAGCCCAAGUGAAACUAACUAGGUGCAUCACCUACUAAGACUUUUUUACCAUGUAAUUGGGCCAAUUUUGUACCACCUACUUGCAUUAGUCUGGCCCAAGUUAAAUAUAAGAACAAACGGAAAAUGGACAGCCAAGGCUGAAUAAUUUUAAGUCCAAAAAGGCCCAAGUUAAAAGCCAAGUAGGUGGUUCACCUACUUGACAAUAUAUGGCCCAAAAUUGGCCAAGAAAGUCGGCCAUUGCACCUCCCUUUCAGACAUGCAAAAUUUUUAGAUUCUUUAAGUUUCUUUCUUGGUGUCUCUUGGCUUCACCAAGCAGCCCUAAAAUAACCUUAGGGUUCUUGGUAUUGUCUCGUAUUCAAGUAAAAGUUUGAAGGAGAGUUUGAAUUCUUGAAGUAUAAGUUUAGAGGAUACAUUUCCAGAAUUAAGGGAUGUUGCAUUUCAUGUUGCAGGCAUAAGUACUCCAGCUAGUAGACUUCCUUUGUAGGAGCAAACGACACUCAGCAACUUUUGGGGCGAGAUCUUGUUGGAAUAUUUGAUUCAUCAUAAGAAUCUUCAUAAGGCAAAGUCAAAAUAUGUUUUUUCCUGUCCCAAAGAGCAUUUGGAUGGUCUGCACAAAUAUCAGAUGCUAUUUUUGCAGAAGUCAAUUUAAUUUUUUCUUGGAUUCUAGGAGAUUGUAAAGAUUCUGAAAUAUUCAGACUAUAAAUUUCCAUUUGUAAAGACUCAAUAUGCUUUUGUUUUAAAUGAAUCAAAGAGUUAAUAUCUCUAGUGAUUGGUUCGGUUAUGAACUCAAAA
Solanum lycopersicum (tomato) is the source of this 1691-nucleotide long non-coding RNA. RefSeq lists it as uncharacterized. Lineage: Eukaryota; Viridiplantae; Streptophyta; Magnoliopsida; Solanales; Solanaceae. The record is from RefSeq and is a predicted model, not a curated record.